This is a long non-coding RNA of Rosa rugosa (rugosa rose), 726 nucleotides long. RefSeq lists it as uncharacterized. The transcript has 4 exons. Lineage: Eukaryota; Viridiplantae; Streptophyta; Magnoliopsida; Rosales; Rosaceae. The record is from RefSeq and is a predicted model, not a curated record.
UGUCUGAAUUGGAGAGUCCAGACAAAAUGAAGCCUCAAGAUGAUUCUGGAUUGCAAGCAAACAGUAUUCAGAAGGGAUUAACUCAAGGAUUACAUUUUUGCCCCCUUGCUAUAAAAUCGACGUCUCCAACUCUUUUUCAGCUCGAGAAGCCUCCAUCAAGGUCAAUACCCACUGUUCGCCGAUAUCAGGCUUAUCCAUCGCAAUCAACAUCGGCAGAACCUUGCUGUGGUAGAAAAAGAGAAGAACAGGGAUUGAAAUCGGUAAGGUUCUAAAGUUUGAUUGAAAUCAGUAAGGUUCGAAAGUUUGAAGCUGUAGUAGAAAGGAAAAGAAGAGGGAUUGAAAUCGGUAAGGUUCUAAAGUUUGAAGCUUUCAUUUGGUUAGAUUUUGGGGGUUGCGUUUUUGUUGUUUUUUGCUGGAAUUGGGUUUUGGGUUUGAUUUGUUGUUUGGUUGUCUUUCGCAGUUCUAAAUAUUGUUCACUUAAAUAUCUAGGAAAGAAGAAUAAGGAUUGAAAUCGACGAACUGAUGAAUUAGCUAGAUUUUGACCGGAAACCGGAAACCUCACUGACUGUACACACAACUCCAUCCAUUCAAGACAAAACUCCAUCAACAGCUAUUUCAGGAGCAUACUUCAAUUCAAUUUGUGCAUUGUAAUACAAAAUUUUGGCCAAAAUGUACCUCACUUCAGAACAUAAUUUCAAUAAAAACAAUUCCUCUGGAAUUUUUCCC